ACAAGGAGGAGAUGACUUCUAAGGGCUCCACUGGAAUAGAAGUUAUCCUGUCAGCCCUAGAGGUAAAACCUUCCGAUCUGUGUGGUUAUGGAAUACAAAAGAUCCUCAAAGUAUUCGAAAUAUAUUGAAUAUCCUCAUUGAGAUUGUGUCAGUUGGUGGCGGUCAGAGGGCAGGCGUCUUAGUCACUAAAGGAGGGACACAGAUCUUAUUGCAGUUGCUUUUGACUGCCAGCAAAGACUCUCCACCAACUGGAGAAUUAAUGGUGCUUCUUCAUACUCUUCUUGCAAAAAUUGGUCCAAAAGACAAAAAGAUUGGCAUGAAAGCAAGAAUUAAUGGUGCCCUAAACAUAUCAUUGAAUUUAGUGAAGCAGAAUUUGCAAAACCACAGGCUAAUAUUGCCAUGUCUUCAAGUAUUAAGAGUUUACUCAACCAACUGUAAGUACUGCUGAUAGUUCUUUUUUUUCCCAUGUGAUACAAAAGUUUUUACCUAGAUACAGUUGAAACAUCCGAUCUACAUGCUUGUUCAAUGUUAGAUGUUUAAAAUAAUUAUUUU
Tyto alba (common barn owl) is the source of this 552-nucleotide long non-coding RNA. RefSeq lists it as uncharacterized. The transcript is spliced from 4 exons. The record is from RefSeq and is a predicted model, not a curated record. NCBI's taxonomy places the organism in Eukaryota, Metazoa, Chordata, Aves, Strigiformes, Tytonidae.